UACAGAGGUCCCAAGCGUUGUUCGGAUUCAUUGGGCGUAAAGGGUGCGUAGGCGGCGGGGUAAGUCUGAUGUGAAAGGUUGGGGCUCAACCCUGACACUGCAUUGGAUACUGCCUUGCUAGAGUACUGGAGAGGAGACUGGAAUUUACGGUGUAGCAGUGAAAUGCGUAGAGAUCGUAAGGAAGACCAGUGGCGAAGGCGAGUCUCUGGACAGUUACUGACGCUGAGGCACGAAGGCCAGGGGAGCAAACGGG
Molecule: ribosomal RNA, 253 nt
Filed under: uncultured Spartobacteria bacterium
Lineage: Bacteria; Pseudomonadati; Verrucomicrobiota; Spartobacteria
Description: partial 16S ribosomal RNA
Rfam family: Bacterial small subunit ribosomal RNA
Source: RNAcentral